GACGAACGCUUGCGGCGUGCUUAACACAUGCAAGUCGAACGGAAAGGCCCUGCUUUUGUGGGGUGCUCGAGUGGCGAACGGGUGAGUAACACGUGAGUAACCUGCCCUUGACUUUGGGAUAACUUCAGGAAACUGGGGCUAAUACCGGAUAGGAGCUCCUGCUGCAUGGUGGGGGUUGGAAAGUUUCGGCGGUUGGGGAUGGACUCGCGGCUUAUCAGCUUGUUGGUGGGGUAGUGGCUUACCAAGGCUUUGACGGGUAGCCGGCCUGAGAGGGUGACCGGCCACAUUGGGACUGAGAUACGGCCCAGACUCCUACGGGAGGCAGCAGUGGGGAAUAUUGCACAAUGGGCGGAAGCCUGAUGCAGCAACGCCGCGUGCGGGAUGACGGCCUUCGGGUUGUAAACCGCUUUCGCCUGUGACGAAGCGUGAGUGACGGUAAUGGGUAAAGAAGCACCGGCUAACUACGUGCCAGCAGCCGCGGUGAUACGUAGGGUGCGAGCGUUGUCCGGAUUUAUUGGGCGUAAAGGGCUCGUAGGUGGUUGAUCGCGUCGGAAGUGUAAUCUUGGGGCUUAACCCUGAGCGUGCUUUCGAUACGGGUUGACUUGAGGAAGGUAGGGGAGAAUGGAAUUCCUGGUGGAGCGGUGGAAUGCGCAGAUAUCAGGAGGAACACCAGUGGCGAAGGCGGUUCUCUGGGCCUUUCCUGACGCUGAGGAGCGAAAGCGUGGGGAGCGAACAGGCUUAGAUACCCUGGUAGUCCACGCUGUAAACGGUGGGUACUAGGUGUGGGGUCCAUUCCACGGGUUCCGUGCCGUAGCUAACGCUUUAAGUACCCCGCCUGGGGAGUACGGCCGCAAGGCCAAAACUCAAAGGAAUUGACGGGGCCCCGCACAAGCGGCGGAGCAUGCGGAUUAAUUCGAUGCAACGCGUAGAACCUUACCUGGGUUUGACAUGGAUCGGGAGUGCUCAGAGAUGGGUGUGCCUCUUUUGGGGUCGGUUCACAGGUGGUGCAUGGCUGUCGUCAGCUCGUGUCGUGAGAUGUUGGGUUAAGUCCCGCAACGAGCGCAACCCUUGUUCACUGUUGCCAGCACGUUAUGGUGGGGACUCAGUGGAGACCGCCGGGGUCAACUCGGAGGAAGGUGGGGAUGACGUCAAGUCAUCAUGCCCCUUAUGUCCAGGGCUUCACGCAUGCUACAAUGGCUGGUACAGAGAGUGGCGAGCCUGUGAGGGUGAGCGAAUCUCGGAAAGCCGGUCUCAGUUCGGAUUGGGGUCUGCAACUCGACCUCAUGAAGUCGGAGUCGCUAGUAAUCGCAGAUCAGCAACGCUGCGGUGAAUACGUUCCCGGGGCU
Molecule: ribosomal RNA, 1346 nt
Filed under: uncultured bacterium
Lineage: Bacteria
Description: partial 16S ribosomal RNA
Rfam family: Bacterial small subunit ribosomal RNA
Source: RNAcentral